UGUAUAUUGGUGUAAAGUGCACAGAAAGUUUUGAUCUUUUAGGGAACAGUGUAAUUCUGUUAUAUAUAA
Molecule: transfer RNA, 69 nt
Filed under: Lissocarcinus arkati
Lineage: Eukaryota; Metazoa; Arthropoda; Malacostraca; Decapoda; Portunidae
Description: tRNA-Gln
Source: RNAcentral